UACGUAGGGUGCAAGCGUUGUCCGGAAUUAUUGGGCGUAAAGAGCUCGUAGGUGGUUUGUCGCGUUGUUCGUGAAAACUCACGGCUUAACUGUGAGCGUGCGGGCGAUACGGGCAGACUGGAGUACUGCAGGGGAGACUGGAAUUCCUGGUGUAGCGGUGGAAUGCGCAGAUAUCAGGAGGAACACCGAUGGCGAAGGCAGGUCACUGGGCCGCAACUGACGCUGAGGAGCGAAAGCAUGGGGAGCGAACAGG
Molecule: ribosomal RNA, 253 nt
Filed under: uncultured bacterium
Lineage: Bacteria
Description: partial 16S ribosomal RNA
Rfam family: Bacterial small subunit ribosomal RNA
Source: RNAcentral